UUCAGGGAUAUCCCAAGCGUCUAAUCCA
This 28-nucleotide non-coding RNA is filed under the name Mus musculus (house mouse). The record is from RNAcentral. Lineage: Eukaryota; Metazoa; Chordata; Mammalia; Rodentia; Muridae.